AUUGAACGCUGGCGGCAUGCCUUACACAUGCAAGUCGAACGGCAGCACGGGAGCAAUCCUGGUGGCGAGUGGCGAACGGGUGAGUAAUAUAUCGGAACGUGCCCAGUCGUGGGGAUAACGUAGCGAAAGCUACGCUAAUACCGCAUACGAUCUACGGAUGAAAGCGGGGGAUCGCAAGACCUCGCGCGAUUGGAGCGGCCGAUAUCAGAUUAGGUAGUUGGUGAGGUAAAGGCUCACCAAGCCGACCGAUCUGUAGCUGGUCUGAGAGGACGACCAGCCACACUGGGACUGAGACACGGCCCAGACUCCUACGGGAGGCAGCAGU
Molecule: ribosomal RNA, 325 nt
Filed under: uncultured bacterium
Lineage: Bacteria
Description: bacterial SSU rRNA
Rfam family: Bacterial small subunit ribosomal RNA
Source: RNAcentral